This is a long non-coding RNA of Etheostoma spectabile (orangethroat darter), 77 nucleotides long. RefSeq lists it as uncharacterized. The record is from RefSeq and is a predicted model, not a curated record. The transcript is spliced from 4 exons. Lineage: Eukaryota; Metazoa; Chordata; Actinopteri; Perciformes; Percidae.
AUUCAAUAUCUUUCAUAUCUAAACAUCAUAAAUAAUCUAUAGCUGUGUGGGGCCCCAGGGAGUUGCCUUAUUUGCCC